UUGAACACAGAAAUGUACCAACAGAAUCGCUCUUCGACAUUUAAUAUAAUCAUAUUUAUUUCAAAUGUGUAUAAAUGUAAAAUGUGCCUGGACUACCUAAUGACGACUGCUAGCCACUAUGUUGUACUGUUGCAAUAUUUACUAAAACUGUUGAUCGGACAUAUGAACAGAGUUAUGGCCCUUGAACUUAGGAGAUACGAAAAUGUGUUGUGCCUGGUGAUUCCGUUUCCUUGGUAACCAGGCCUACAAGCACACCGAUAGGACCCGAUGCUGUUGAAACAGUUGGAUCUGGUAGAAUGACAGUUGCUGCUUCCCUCUGCACAUUCGUCGAUAUCUGGGGGAUUUUUUUAAAAACAGUAUUAUUAAAUUAUUAAUCCGUAAUUCGGUUUAAUGUGAUGAGCUCUAUAAAGUCUAAACUUCAUCAUUAUUUAAUUAUUUAAAAUAAUUAUUUGUAAGCUGGCAGACAAAAACAAUCGUGAAUAAUUGUAUCUGUUAUGUCAUUUUAAAAGCUGUUAUAAAAAGGUUGAAUGCUAAUUAAUCGAGGUGAAUGCCAGUUAUUACUAAAGUUUUACAUUCAAAGUGUAGAUGGAUGAUUGAGGAUUUGGUGGUUGCAGUUAUAGUUUGUUUUGUUUUGUUGCCACUUUUUGUGGUGUUUAUGUUUCUUUGUGUUUUUCUCUUCUUUUUCUUUUUCGUCUUAGGGUUUUUUCUGUGUUUUUUUUGUUUU
Molecule: unclassified non-coding RNA, 724 nt
Filed under: Gigantopelta aegis
Lineage: Eukaryota; Metazoa; Mollusca; Gastropoda; Neomphalida; Peltospiridae
Description: uncharacterized LOC121387970, transcript variant X1
Source: RNAcentral